Molecule: ribosomal RNA, 497 nt
Filed under: uncultured bacterium
Lineage: Bacteria
Description: partial 16S ribosomal RNA
Rfam family: Bacterial small subunit ribosomal RNA
Source: RNAcentral
GAUGAACGCUGGCGGCGUGCCUAAUACAUGCAAGUCGAGCGAACGGACGAGAAGCUUGCUUCUCUGAUGUUAGCGGCGGACGGGUGAGUAACACGUGGAUAACCUACCUAUAAGACUGGGAUAACUUCGGGAAACCGGAGCUAAUACCGGAUGAUAUUUUGAACCGCAUGGUUCAAAAGUGAAAGACGGUCUUGCUGUCACUUAUAGAUGGAUCCGCGCUGCAUUAGCUAGUUGGUAAGGUAACGGCUUACCAAGGAAACGAUGCAUAGCCGACCUGGGAGGGUGAUCGGCCACACUGGAACUGGAACACGGUCCAGACUCCUACGGGAGGCAGCAGUAGGGAAUCUUCCGCAAUGGGCGAAAGCCUGACGGAGCAACGCCGCGUGGGUGAUGAAGGUCUUCGGAUCGUAAAACUCUGUUAUUAGGGAAGAACAUAUGUGUAAGUAACUGUGCACAUCGUGACGGUACCUAAUCAGAAAGCCACGGCUAACUACGUG